UACGGAAGGCAGCAGUGGGGAAUAUUGCACAAUGGGCGAAAGCCUGAUGCAGCUAUGCCGCGUGUAUGAAGAAGGCCUUAGGGUUGUAAAGUACUUUCAUCGGGGAGGAAAAACAAAACUAAUAAUUUUAUUUCUUGACGUUACCCGAAAAAGAAGCACCGGCUAACUCCGUGCCAGCAGCCGCGGUAAUACGGAGGGUGCUAGCGUUAAUCAGAAUUACUGGGCGUAAAGAGCACGUAGGUGGUUUUUUUAAGUCAGAUGUGAAAUCCCUGGGCUUAACCUAGGAACUGCAUUUUGAAACUGAAAUACUAGAGUAUCGUAGAGGGAGGUAGAAUUCUAGGUGUAGCGGUGAAAUGCGUAGAUAUCUGGAGGAAUACCUGUGGCGAAAGCGGCCUCCUAAACGAAUACUGACACUGAGGUGCGAAAGCGUGGGGAGCAAACAGGGAUUAGAUACA
This 455-nucleotide ribosomal RNA is filed under the name uncultured bacterium. RNAcentral describes it as "bacterial SSU rRNA". It matches the Rfam family "Bacterial small subunit ribosomal RNA", at positions 340 to 786 of the family's 1533-position model. The record is from RNAcentral.